RNAcentral lists this long non-coding RNA (1373 nucleotides) under Chrysemys picta bellii (western painted turtle). RNAcentral's name for it is "lncRNA (ENSCPBG00000003620.1)". Lineage: Eukaryota; Metazoa; Chordata; Testudines; Emydidae. The record is from RNAcentral.
CUCCUGGAGCCUAUGCCCAGCACCCCAUCCCAAGCUCAGCACACCCUCCCACAUGCCGAAUCCCUCAGCCCCAAGCCCCCUCCUGCACCCCAAACCCCUCAGCCCCAGCCAGAGCCUCACCCCCUCCUGGUGAAAAUGAGCGAGUGAGGAUGGGGGAGAGAUGGACGGAUGGGGGAUGGAGUGAGCAGGGGUGGGGCCUCGGAGAAGGGGCAGGACCUCAGGGCAAAACAAGGGUGUUGGGUUUUAUGUAAUUAGAAAGUUAGCAACCCUAACCAAGGUGUGUCUGUACAUCCAGCCAUCCUAGCAAGCAAGGCAGCGUAACUGUACCCCGGUGUAACUGGACAGGUGAACGCAGCUGGGGACAGGCCUGACCUCGACUCCACCGAGGUACAAACCUGCUGCGUCUAUACUGGACGUACACGGACCUGGAAACACACCCCGGGUCCAGGGAUACAAACAGGAAGGGGAGGGGCAUUCGUGCCACUCCUCCUCUAGCGCCGCCGGGGUUUGUUUCCCCUUCACAGCGGCUGAGCGGAGGGAUACCAGUACGAGGUGAGCCAAACACGAACGCAGAUCCGGUCUCGACGGCCAUUUUGUGUACACGCACAGACAAACCCCCGGGGCGGGGACUAAGGAGUGACCACGAGCCGGGCACGCAGGAAAAUCGCAGGCCCGGCAAGAGCCUUCGCUGUGUGGGCUACUCCGUAGCCCGCAAAGCGACGGACAAACCGCCUACUCAAGCGCAGGGGGAAACUGGGCCCUGCCUAAUGCGCCGGUUUCACAUUGUCUGCGAAGAGGGAAGGACGGGAUUCUGAUUGGAGAAGCGGCGCCUCUUGCCCCUCCCCAGAACAGGCACGCGUGCGGGCUUACUCUCGUGAGAGAGGCCCCACGAGCCUCCCCUCCUCUUCAUUCCCCCACCCCCGCAGCACUAGAAGGCGCGUGCGCGCAACUUGCACGCGUCUGAAGCCCCCCGACCGCCCCCCUGCCAUCAGUCUUGGUAGCGCGUGCGCGGAUUCCCAGGCGGCGGCGGCGGCUCAGCUCAGCUCAUCGUCUGUCCUCUCCGAGGCGGCGGCAGGCAGCGCUCUCCGGAGAAGGGGCCGGACCCGCCCGUCGGGAGGAGGCUGUGGGCGGCUGCGCUCCGUUCGGGCGGGCGCCCCUGGCUGUUUCCGGAGGAAGGAGAGACGCAACUAUCCCCCUCCCCCCUCAGCGCGAGCGGAGCCCGGAGUCACCGCGGCGCAGAGACAGGCCCGGCGGGCGGCGGCGGCGCACACACACACAAUGGCGCUCAAACGCAUCAACAAGGUGAGCGAGGGCCGGGCCGGGGAGACGGCGCUGCUUACCCCCCCCCCCCCGCCGACGCCGGGGCUGCGCGU